RNAcentral lists this ribosomal RNA (710 nucleotides) under uncultured bacterium. RNAcentral's name for it is "bacterial SSU rRNA". It matches the Rfam family "Bacterial small subunit ribosomal RNA", at positions 94 to 803 of the family's 1533-position model. The record is from RNAcentral.
AGCGGCGGACGGGUGAGUAAUGCUUGGGAAUCUACCUAGUAGUGGGGGAUAACGUGUGGAAACGCACGCUAAUACCGCAUACGUCCUACGGGAGAAAGCAGGGGAUCUUCGGACCUUGCGCUAUUAGAUGAGCCCAAGUCGGAUUAGCUAGUUGGUGGGGUAAUGGCUCACCAAGGCUACGAUCCGUAGCUGGUCUGAGAGGAUGAUCAGCCACACUGGGACUGAGACACGGCCCAGACUCCUACGGGAGGCAGCAGUGGGGAAUAUUGCACAAUGGGCGAAAGCCUGAUGCAGCCAUGCCGCGUGUGUGAAGAAGGCUCUAGGGUUGUAAAGCACUUUCAGUAGGGAGGAACAGCUUAAGACUAAUACUCUUGAGCCUUGACGUUACCUACAGAAGAAGCACCGGCAAACUCCGUGCCAGCAGCCGCGGUAAUACGGAGGGUGCGAGCGUUAAUCGGAAUUACUGGGCGUAAAGCGCGCGUAGGUGGUUUGAUAAGCUAGCUGUGAAAGCCCCGGGCUCAACCUGGGAACUGCAGUUAGAACUGUCUGGCUAGAGUACAGUAGAGGGUGGCGGAAUUUCCUGUGUAGCGGUGAAAUGCGUAGAUAUAGGAAGGAACAUCAGUGGCGACGCGGCCACCUGGACUGAUACUGACACUGAGUGCGAAGCGUGGGGAGCCAACCAGAAUAGAUACCCUGAUAGUCCACGCCGU